Molecule: ribosomal RNA, 385 nt
Filed under: uncultured bacterium
Lineage: Bacteria
Description: bacterial SSU rRNA
Rfam family: Bacterial small subunit ribosomal RNA
Source: RNAcentral
GACGAACGCUGGCGGCGUGCUUAACACAUGCAAGUGGAGCGACGAACCAGGCUUCGGCCUGGGGCAGAGCCGCGAACGGGUGAGUAACACGUGGGUAACCUGCCCUGAUGAUCAGGACAACCCGGGGAAACCCGGGCGUAAUACCGAAUGUGCUGCCCUCGCAUCAGUGAGGGUAGGAAAGGAAGCUUCGGCCUCCGCAUCAGGAUGGGCCCGCGGCCCAUUAGCUUGUUGGUGAGGUAACGGCGUCACCAAGGCUUCGAUGGGUAGCUGGUCUGAGAGGACGGAUCAGCCACACUGGGACUGAGACACGGCCCACGACUCCUACGGGAGGCAGCAGUGGGGAAUCUUGCGCAAUGGGCGAAAGCCUGACGCAGCGACGCCGCGU